AGAAAAUGCAGAAAACAUGCAAUUAAGGGGAAAUAAACCCUAGGAAAAAUAUUAGGGUUUUACGGGUUCUCACACUCUCCCCCCCUUAAAAGAAUUUCGUCCUCGAAAUUCCUUAUCAGCGGAAUCCCUCAAAUCUAAGGUACCCAACGGAUCAAGCAAAUGACAAGCCCAAAUUGCCUACCUAGGCUCUCAUCUCUUCCGUAUCCGGGCACAAGAAUCCCAUCUAAGAUAAUUCACAACUCGAGCCGGCCGGUCCCAAGAGUAAACCAUCCUUAUUAAAGAUUCCUACCCGACAUACAUACCUAGUUUCCUCGAGUCCCAUGAUAAUGAUUCGCACACUUAUCACAUGCCCGGUUCAUAACUUACGCUCAAACGAGCACUUAAACACAUUCAUGAAAUUAGGACCACAACACCACUUGGCCCAGUCUCACUC
This 433-nucleotide long non-coding RNA is filed under the name Coffea arabica (coffee). RNAcentral describes it as "long non-coding RNA (CARA_LNC002605)". Lineage: Eukaryota; Viridiplantae; Streptophyta; Magnoliopsida; Gentianales; Rubiaceae. The record is from RNAcentral.